Molecule: ribosomal RNA, 301 nt
Filed under: uncultured bacterium
Lineage: Bacteria
Description: partial 16S ribosomal RNA
Rfam family: Bacterial small subunit ribosomal RNA
Source: RNAcentral
CAGCCGCCGCGGUAAUACGUAGGGUGCAAGCGUUAAUCGGAAUUACUGGGCGUAAAGCGUGCGCAGGCGGUUCGUUAAGACAGAUGUGAAAUCCCCGGGCUUAACCUGGGAACUGCAUUUGUGACUGGCGGGCUAGAGUAUGGCAGAGGGGGGUAGAAUUCCACGUGUAGCAGUGAAAUGCGUAGGGAUGUGGAGGAAUACCGAUGGCGAAGGCAGCCCCCUGGGCCAAUACUGACGCUCAUGCACGAAAGCGUGGGGAGCAAACAGGAUUAGAUACCCGAGUAGUCCCUGUCUCUUAUAC